Molecule: small RNA, 229 nt
Filed under: Arabidopsis thaliana (thale cress)
Lineage: Eukaryota; Viridiplantae; Streptophyta; Magnoliopsida; Brassicales; Brassicaceae
Description: ATSL215040
Source: RNAcentral
UGCUGGUGCUCCUGCUGCUGCUGCUGCUGCUGCUGGUGCGGUAGUUCCAACAGGAGUAACAGUAGGCUCUGCAAGGCGAGCAGGUGGUGCAUUAGUUCCUCUCAACAGCUCUUCUCGUUCCCGCCUACUUUUCUCUUCCAGCUCUAUCUCUCUCUGCCUUUGCUUCUCAAAAGCUUUAUCCAAGUUUGCUUUGCGUUCAGCUUCUACCUUCUUGAGCCUCUCAGCUUCU